GAUGAACGCUGGCGGCGUGCCUAAUACAUGCAAGUCGAGCGAACAGACGAGGAGCUUGCUCCUCUGACGUUAGCGGCGGACGGGUGAGUAACACGUGGAUAACCUACCUAUAAGACUGGGAUAACUUCGGGAAACCGGAGCUAAUACCGGAUAAUAUAUUGAACCGCAUGGUUCAAUAGUGAAAGACGGUUUUGCUGUCACUUAUAGAUGGAUCCGCGCCGCAUUAGCUAGUUGGUAAGGUAACGGCUUACCAAGGCAACGAUGCGUAGCCGACCUGAGAGGGUGAUCGGCCACACUGGAACUGAGACACGGUCCAGACUCAGACGGGAGGCAGCAGUAGGGAAGCUGCCGCAAUGGGCGAAAGCCUGACGGAGCAACGCCGAGUGAGUGAUGAAGGUCUUCGGAUCGUAAAACUCUGUUAUUAGGGAAGAACAAAUGUGUAAGUAACUAUGCACGUCUGGACGGUACCUAAUCAGAAAGCCACGGCUAACUACGG
This 496-nucleotide ribosomal RNA is filed under the name uncultured bacterium. RNAcentral's name for it is "partial 16S ribosomal RNA". It matches the Rfam family "Bacterial small subunit ribosomal RNA", at positions 28 to 506 of the family's 1533-position model. The record is from RNAcentral.